UCCAAUCCAAACAUUUGAAAUCCAAAGGUGUAUAAGUAACGAAACCGUUGAAGAGCUAUAUGUCAAACAUACCUAAAAUAAAUAGCCAAAUUCAUCUAAAGCCAACUUUGCCUGAGCGAGUUGAAACCUUAGUUUCUUAAUAGUUACAAAAUUUAUAAACGGACAAUUUUAGUAAAAUUUGUUAAAUCAUGUCAGUACUGACUACUGAGCUGAUCAUACCCUCGGGGACUGAUAGUCCAACAGCAGAGGUAUCGACCCAGUGGUGUAAAAAUUUGAAAACAACACGUCCGAAACACUUUUCAGGAUUUACAUUCAUCAGGAACGCUCAAAGCCAAACAUUAAACUUCGAAUACCAUUUAGCUAAUGAUUUUUUAAAAACAUAUGUUUAAACUGAGUUAAUUUAAAAAAUAUAUAUGCCUGUGCGAUACGUGAAACGUGAAAUAAUAGAAAAACAUUGUUUGAGAAUUAGUUAUGUCAAUUAUCUAGACUGGUUAUAACUAUUUAAAAAUAUAACCAUGUGCAAGACAGGAUAACAAUGAACUUUUUAACCAACAAAACACAGGACUUGGAAAAAUAGUUAAGCACAACAAAAAUAGUUCAUCUCUUAAUUAACAAGCCGUUCUAUCAACAUGUAUACCAUUAAUAUUCCAUCGCAAAAAAAUUCCCCUUCCUACUGAAAAUCAGAUGGUCAACUAAUGUGGUCGAGAGCCGUGGUGUAGUGGUUAGUGCAUCGGACUACUAAUAUAAAGGUUUCUUGUUCGAUCCUCGUUCCGGACAGAAAAUUUCAGGGACUGAAUUUUCGGCUCUCCCAUGGCACCAAUUGCGAGUAUGGUCUUGAAGAAACGAUGAUAGUCUGCCGGAAGGUGACGAUAAAUGGCGGACCCAUGUAAAGAGAUAGCCAUAUGUCUUGCACAUAUAAGACACCCUUGUUGAUUUCGAAAAAGAGCAGGUUAAUGCCGCUACAAAAAGGCACUUGCACUUAGAAAGAGGAAAAGGAUUAAUAUAAGUUGCAAUAACUUGUUUUCCCAAUCCACUAUAAAUAAACAUGUUCAAACUAACUAAUGUUUAAUUAUGGUUUUAAAUGAGCAAUGUUUGAGGUUUUGUCAUAUAUAAAAAGGUC
RNAcentral lists this long non-coding RNA (1120 nucleotides) under Mytilus galloprovincialis (Mediterranean mussel). The record is from RNAcentral. Lineage: Eukaryota; Metazoa; Mollusca; Bivalvia; Mytilida; Mytilidae.